GACGAACGCUGGCGGCGUGCUUAACACAUGCAAGUCGAACGGUAAGGCCCUUCGGGGUACACGAGUGGCGAACGGGUGAGUAACACGUGGGUGAUCUGCCCUGCACUUCGGGAUAAGCCUGGGAAACUGGGUCUAAUACCGGAUAGGACUCCGGACUGCAUGGUCUGGGGUGGAAAGCUUUUGUGGUGUGGGAUGGGCCCGCGGCCUAUCAGCUUGUUGGUGGGGUGAUGGCCUACCAAGGCGACGACGGGUAGCCGGCCUGAGAGGGUGACCGGCCACACUGGGACUGAGAUACGGCCCAGACUCCUACGGGAGGCAGCAGUGGGGAAUAUUGCACAAUGGGCGCAAGCCUGAUGCAGCGACGCCGCGUGAGGGAUGACGGCCUUCGGGUUGUAAACCUCUUUCAGCAUCGACGAAGCGAAAGUGACGGUAGGUGCAGAAGAGGGACCGGCCAACUACGUGCCAGCAGCCGCCGUAA
This 478-nucleotide ribosomal RNA is filed under the name uncultured bacterium. RNAcentral's name for it is "partial 16S ribosomal RNA". It matches the Rfam family "Bacterial small subunit ribosomal RNA", at positions 28 to 523 of the family's 1533-position model. The record is from RNAcentral.